UACGGUAGGAGACGAGCGUUGUCCGGAGUUACUGGGCGUAAAGGGUGCGCAGGUGGCGGCGCGCGUGGGGGGUGAAAUCGCCCGGCUUAACUGGGCGGGGCCUUCCAGACGGCGUGGCUUGAGCAGCGGAGGGGGACGUGGAAUUCCGGGUGGAGCGGUGAAAUGCGUAGAGAUCCGGAGGAACACCGACGGCGCGAGGCAGCGUCCCGUGGCCGCUUGCUGACA
RNAcentral lists this ribosomal RNA (225 nucleotides) under uncultured bacterium. Its description in RNAcentral is "partial 16S ribosomal RNA". It matches the Rfam family "Bacterial small subunit ribosomal RNA", at positions 524 to 745 of the family's 1533-position model. The record is from RNAcentral.